This 253-nucleotide ribosomal RNA is filed under the name uncultured bacterium. Its description in RNAcentral is "partial 16S ribosomal RNA". It matches the Rfam family "Bacterial small subunit ribosomal RNA", at positions 524 to 776 of the family's 1533-position model. The record is from RNAcentral.
UACAUGGGGUGCAAACGUUGCUCGGAAUCAUUGGGCGUAAAGCGCACGUAGGCGGCUUGCCAAGUCGGACGUGAAAUCCCUCAGCUCAACUGAGGACGUGCAUCCGAAACUGGCGAGCUUGAGUGCUGAAGAGGAUCGCGGAAUUCCCGGUGUAGAGGUGAAAUUCGUAGAUAUCGGGAGGAACACCAGUGGCGAAGGCGGCGAUCUGGGAAGAUACUGACGCUGAGGUGCGAAAGCGUGGGGAGCAAACAGG